UCCGGAGGGUGCAAUCGUUGUUCGGAAUCACUGGGCGUAAAGCGCGUGUAGGCGGUCUGCUAAGUCUGAUGUGAAAGCCCGGGGCUCACCCUCGGAAGUGCAUUGGAAACUGGCAGACUGGAGUCCCGGAGAGGAGGGUGGAAUUCCUGGUGUAGCGGUGAAAUGCGUAGAUAUCAGGAGGAACACCGGUGGCGAAGGCGGCCCUCUGGACGGUGACUGACGCUGAGACGCGAAAGCGUGGGGAGAAAACAGG
RNAcentral lists this ribosomal RNA (253 nucleotides) under uncultured bacterium. RNAcentral's name for it is "partial 16S ribosomal RNA". It matches the Rfam family "Bacterial small subunit ribosomal RNA", at positions 524 to 776 of the family's 1533-position model. The record is from RNAcentral.